RNAcentral lists this small RNA (400 nucleotides) under Drosophila erecta. RNAcentral describes it as "GG27060". The record is from RNAcentral. Lineage: Eukaryota; Metazoa; Arthropoda; Insecta; Diptera; Drosophilidae.
UCCCAAUUGGUGGACGGGCCAACAGUUUUAGUUGAGCCAAAGGCUUUCAGCAGUUAAUAGCGCAAAAUUGUGUCUUUCCCCAGCGGACAAAAAAGCAAGCAAAUUCAAUCAAGAUGAGCGAAGCCCGUAACUUGUUCACCACCUUUGGCAUCCUGGCCAUCCUGCUUUUCUUCCUUUACCUCAUCUAUGCCGUAUUGUAAAAUGUUUCCGGCAAGUAGAUGGUCCUUAGCGGAACAAAAGCCAGCAGCCAAAUCAAACCAAUCAACAUGAAUGAGGCCAAAAGUUUGUUCACCACCUUCCUCAUCCUGGCCUUCCUGCUGUUCCUGCUCUACGCCUUCUACGAAGCCGCCUUCUAGGCCCACAUCCCCACCAUGAUCACCAUGACCACCAGUACCACCAC